AUGCCCAUUUCAUUAAAAACACUAUCUGGUCUCGCCCUUUGUCCAAAUCUAACUGGAAAGACAAGUAGACAGAAGUCUUCUCCUGAGCAUAAAUAUGGCUAUGAGAAGAAAAGAAGAACUAAAAUAAUCACUACCAAAGGAUGCCAAGGCCAGCACCCCUGGAGAAAUGCCCUCAUCAGUGAACAUUCACCUUCUGGGCAAGUCAUCCAUGGGACUUCAGCCCUCAUUUAUCCAUCCUGGGGCUUGCUUGUCAGUGAACUUGUAUCUGUCUAACUUUAUCUUUUUUCCAAGUCAAAUCCCUGAAGAAGAGAAAGCUCCUGCUGGAACCACAUGUGUGGCAUCCUGGGAAAGACUCAAGAGGCCUGUUCAUCUAUUUAGUGACAGGAUUUUCCAUGCUCAAUAAAUUCUGCUCCAUCGCAAUUGCAAUCUUGUGUGUGGCAUCUUUCCUCUCUAAUGCUCUAGAUCCCUCUCUGCUUUUACAAUUAUGGGUCUGGUCCCCUGUAGGAGGCU
RNAcentral lists this long non-coding RNA (510 nucleotides) under Ictidomys tridecemlineatus (thirteen-lined ground squirrel). RNAcentral describes it as "lncRNA (ENSSTOG00000034523.1)". Lineage: Eukaryota; Metazoa; Chordata; Mammalia; Rodentia; Sciuridae. The record is from RNAcentral.